This 641-nucleotide long non-coding RNA is filed under the name Homo sapiens (human). Its description in RNAcentral is "HSALNT0273039". Lineage: Eukaryota; Metazoa; Chordata; Mammalia; Primates; Hominidae. The record is from RNAcentral.
GGAGCCGUCCGGCGCAGCAGUUUCUAGGUCCCCACUGUCCCCGCCGUCCCGCCCCUUCGCGUCCCGGGAACCGGCUGGCUUCCGAGCCGCACUCGCCGAUCCUCCAGGCAUGCCCCGCUACGAGCUGGCUUUAAUCCUGAAAGCCAUGCAGCGGCCAGAGACUGCUGCUACUUUGAAACGUACGAUAGAGGCCCUGAUGGACAGAGGAGCAAUAGUGAGGGACUUGGAAAACCUGGGUGAACGAGCGCUUCCUUAUAGGAUCUCUGCCCACAGUCAGCAGCACAACAGAGGCGGUUGCAAGUGGAUGGCAAGCUUCCUUGUGACUUCUCAUCCUGGCAAUUUUCUGGAGUGUUUGUGACUGGACUUUAACAUUUCCAAAAUGUGGCGACAGUGACUGUUAAGUCUUCCCAAAGACGAGGGUUCCUGGGAGCCCCAGGGCUGCAAGCAUCAGGACAGCAGAGACCAAAUUCAUCAUUGAAUCCUCAACAUCUAGCACAAUAUGCCUGGCAUAAGAUAUAUCAAGGUGUACAGACUAUAUUUUUGCUGAUUUAUAAUUCAACUGCAUUGUAGUAAUGGAACCCAGUCUACAUAAAGCUGAUAUUUAAAAAUUUGGUUGGACUUCUUUUGUGACCCAGCACAUG